GUCGAGCGGUAGCACAGAGAGCUUGCUCUCGGGUGACGAGCGGCGGACGGGUGAGUAAUGUCUGGGAAACUGCCUGAUGGAGGGGGAUAACUACUGGAAACGGUAGCUAAUACCGCAUAAYGUCGCAAGACCAAAGUGGGGGACCUUCGGGCCUCAUGCCAUCAGAUGUGCCCAGAUGGGAUUAGCUAGUAGGUGGGGUAACGGCUCACCUAGGCGACGAUCCCUAGCUGGUCUGAGAGGAUGACCAGCCACACUGGAACUGAGACACGGUCCAGACUCCUACGGGAGGCAGCAGUGGGGAAUAUUGCACAAUGGGCGCAAGCCUGAUGCAGCCAUGCCGCGUGUGUGAAGAAGGCCUUCGGGUUGUAAAGCACUUUCAGCGGGGAGGAAGGCGWUAAGGUUAAUAACCUYRKCGAUUGACGUUACCCGCAGAAGAAGCACCGGCUAACUCCGUGCCAGCAGCCGCGGUAAUACGGAGGGUGCAAGCGUUAAUCGGAAUUACUGGGCGUAAAGCGCACGCAGGCGGUCUGUCAAGUCGGAUGUGAAAUCCCCGGGCUCAACCUGGGAACUGCAUUCGAAACUGGCAGGCUAGAGUCUUGUAGAGGGGGGUAGAAUUCCAGGUGUAGCGGUGAAAUGCGUAGAGAUCUGGAGGAAUACCGGUGGCGAAGGCGGCCCCCUGGACAAAGACUGACGCUCAGGUGCGAAAGCGUGGGGAGCAAACAGGAUUAGAUACCCUGGUAGUCCACGCCGUAAACGAUGUCGAUUUGGAGGUUGUGCCCUUGAGGCGUGGCUUCCGGAGCUAACGCGUUAAAUCGACCGCCUGGGGAGUACGGCCGCAAGGUUAAAACUCAAAUGAAUUGACGGGGGCCCGCACAAGCGGUGGAGCAUGUGGUUUAAUUCGAUGCAACGCGAAGAACCUUACCUGGUCUUGACAUCCACAGAACUUUCCAGAGAUGGAUUGGUGCCUUCGGGAACUGUGAGACAGGUGCUGCAUGGCUGUCGUCAGCUCGUG
RNAcentral lists this ribosomal RNA (1012 nucleotides) under Klebsiella sp. RNAcentral describes it as "bacterial SSU rRNA". The record is from RNAcentral. Lineage: Bacteria; Pseudomonadati; Pseudomonadota; Gammaproteobacteria; Enterobacterales; Enterobacteriaceae.